AGAGUUUGAUCCUGGCUCAGGAUGAACGCUAGCGACAGGCCUAACACAUGCAAGUCGAGGGGCAGCAUUGUAGCUUGCUACAGAUGGCGACCGGCGCACGGGUGAGUAAUGCGUAUGCAACCUACCUUAUACUGGGGGAUAGCCCAGAGAAAUCUGGAUUAAUACCGCAUAACAUAUUUGAAUCGCAUGGUUUGAAUAUUAAAACUCCGGUGGUAUAAAAUGGGCAUGCGUAGCAUUAGUUAGUUGGUAAGGUAACGGCUUACCAAGACAAUGAUGCUUAGGGGGUCUGAGAGGAUAGUCCCCCACACUGGUACUGAGACACGGACCAGACUCCUACGGGAGGCAGCAGUGAGGAAUAUUGGUCAAUGGGCGAAAGCCUGAACCAGCCAUGUCGCGUGCAGGAUGACGGCCCUAUGGGUUGUAAACUGCUUUUUUAUAGGAAUAAUUGCAGGUACGUGUACCUGUUUGAAUGUACUGUAUGAAUAAGGAUCGGCUAACUCCGUGCCAGCAGCCGCGGUAAUACGGAGGAUUCGAGCGUUAUCCGGAUUUAUUGGGUUUAAAGGGUCCGUAGGCGGUCUUUUAAGUCAGUGGUGAAAUCCCAGAGCUCAACUCUGGAACUGCCAUUGAAACUGAAGGACUUGAAUAUGGUUGAGGUAGGCGGAAUACGUUAUGUAGCGGUGAAAUGCAUAGAUAUAACGUAGAACACCAAUUGCGAAGGCAGCUUACUAAGCCAUUAUUGACGCUGAUGGACGAAAGCGUGGGAGCGAACAGGAUUAGAUACCCUGGUAGUCCACGCCGUAAACGAUGAUUACUCGUUGUGCACAAUACAUCGUGCGUGACUGAGCAAAAGCAUUAAGUAAUCCACCUGGGGAGUACGUUCGCAAGAAUGAAACUCAAAGGAAUUGACGGGGGCCCGCGCAAGCGGAGGAACAUGUGGUUUAAUUCGAUGCUACGCGAGGAACCUUACCUGGACUUAAAUGUAGAUUGACCCACUUAGAAAUAGGUGUUCUCUUCGAAGCAAUUUACAAGGUGCUGCAUGGUUGUCGUCAGCUCGUGCCGUGAGGUGUCGGGUUAAGUCCCAUAACGAGCGCAACCCCUAUCGUUAGUUGCUAGCAGGUAAUGCUGAGGACUCUAGCGAGACUGCCACCGUAAGGUGAGAGGAAGGUGGGGAUGACGUCAAAUCAGCACGGCCCUUACGUCCAGGGCUACACACGUGUUACAAUGGCCAGUACAAAGGGCAGCUACCUGGUGACAGGAUGCUAAUCUCAAAAGCUGGUCUCAGUUCGGAUCGGAGUCUGCAACUCGACUCCGUGAAGUUGGAUUCGCUAGUAAUCGUAUAUCAGCAAUGAUACGGUGAAUACGUUCCCGGGCCUUGUACACACCGCCCGUCAAGCCAUGGAAGCCGAGGGUGCCUGAAGUUCGUUACCGCAAGGAGCGACCUAGGGUAAAAUUGGUAACUGGGGCUAAGUCGUAACAAGGUA
This 1481-nucleotide ribosomal RNA is filed under the name metagenome. Its description in RNAcentral is "bacterial SSU rRNA". It matches the Rfam family "Bacterial small subunit ribosomal RNA". The record is from RNAcentral.